Molecule: ribosomal RNA, 253 nt
Filed under: uncultured bacterium
Lineage: Bacteria
Description: partial 16S ribosomal RNA
Rfam family: Bacterial small subunit ribosomal RNA
Source: RNAcentral
UACGUAGGGGGCAAGCGUUGUCCGGAAUCAUUGGGCGUAAAGCGCGUGUAGGCGGCUCGGUAAGUCUGCUCUGAAAGCCUGGGGCUCAACCCUGGGAGGCGGGUGGAUACUGCUGAGCUCGAGUCCGGAAGAGGCGAGUGGAAUUCCUGGUGUAGCGGUCAAAUGCGCAGAUAUCAGGAGGAACACCAAUGGCGAAGGCAGCUCGCUGGGACGGUACUGACGCUGAGACGCGAAAGCGUGGGGAGCAAACAGG